UAACUAGAGCCCGUUAAUAGAACCGGGGCCGGCUCCUCGCCAGCGCCCGGGGCCGAGGCCGGGCCUCCUGCUCCCCGCCCCCCCGGGAGCCACCCGUGGGGACCAGGCCGCAUCCCCCCCCGCCGGCCCCGGGGCCCUCCCCUGGCCGCUCCCUCAGCCCUAGAGAGCUGGGGCGGGAACCCCCGGGGGCUCCAAUUCAGGGGUAAUCCACCCCCACCCUAGGAAAGAGGGGCAGUAGGGGAGACCCCCCCACAUUUCCGGCUGAGAUUGAAGGAUCCCUGGGGCAGCGCCAAGGGAAGCUGCAGCGGGAGUUCCUCCUCCUCUCCCCUCCCAUGCCAGGCCCCCCGUUACUGCCAGGGCACUGUCCCUCUCCUCCCUUGGGCACGUUGGGUUUUGAGUGAAGAAUAUUUGCUCCCUCUCUUCCCAUUCCCAAGCUCCCUGUGGACUCCUGGGAAAGGAGAGUCCCUGGCUCAGCCCCAGAUGUUAAGUGGAGCAAAGAGAAGAUUCCAGUGUAGGUGGCUCCCUUUAGAACAAAAAGGUCUUCAGAGUUUAAAGACUGUGCUUCCUGUUUCUGGUGGUACUUACAAGGAACCUGCUGUCAAUUAAUGAUUUUGCAGGCUGCACACAGUACCCCAAAGGGAUUGAAAUCAGGAUCUAGACUAACUCUGGAUGCACCCAGUAGCUGAUUUAAAUUCUUCUUUAGCUCGUUUAAAAAAAAAACACAAAAUCAGAUUGAUGAUGAUAUUGGCCUUCGCUGCCUAAAACCAACCAACAAACAGCAGAACCCUUCCCGUCAGCUUUGAUUUUUAAUUGAGAAUGAAAAUACGAAAAUAGCUCCUCAUAUCAUACCUAUCAGUAUGUGGAGUCGGAAAAUCAUUCCCAAAACUGGUGCUUUGGGGUGCACGAGUGCACAUUGCACUCGGGGAUUGAGCUGUGCACCUUAUUUUCAGAAUAGACUGCUGUGUUAUUUGAUUAUAAAAAUGAAAUAUCCUGGGAAUAGUUAAUUUUGAAACAAGGGAACUUGGAACUACCACCGUGGCAUGCGAUUACGUUGGAUGUGUAUACAACUGAUUAGGCUUAAUAGACGGUACUAAAUUUGGGGCUGGAUACCCGAGCAUUUCAGGAAAAAGUUGGUGUAGAGGUACUUCCGUCUAUUUCUUUUCCUCUUAAAAUAAUCCCCAUUCAUGCAACUGGUUGAAGAGGAAGUUGAUUCCUCCAGACACUCAGGAAAAGAUCACGUAAGUGGGCAAGAUCAGUUGUCAAUAAUUCCAUAGUAAAAUUACUCCCAGUUCUGGCAUAAAUUUUGGAGAUAGAGAAUGAGUGCAUAUUCUUUCGGUGUGCCAGUCUCCCCUGUCUCCCCUAGUAGUAGAUGCAGCAGCUUUAGUAGUGCUGGCAGUCUGGAAUUUAUUCCCAGUGCCCAUUCGGACACUGAGGAGGAGGAUAAGGUGGUGGCGGAAGGGGUGGAACAACCUGCGAAACAUAAAAGAAAGAAGGGGUUGCGGACUAAGGGAAAGCCACACCAUAAAAAACUGGUGCUGUCUAAACAGUUUGUUAAAGUUUUGGGACCGGCAGGUGCUGUUGAAGCUGCCUGUGCUGCAGCUGCAGUAGUCAUGCCUGGUGCUCCUGAGCAAGAUGGAGAGAGCUUCUUUAUCGAGAGCAAUACAGUAAAGCGAGUUCUUUUGCCUGGUACAAGAGCAAAGACUUCCAUCGUGUGGAACUUCUUCCAUGUUGAUCCCCAGUACCCCUGUCGUGCCAUCUGCAGCCUAUGUAAAAAAAGCGUCAGCCGUGGCAAGCCAGGCACCCACCUCGGCACAUCGACCCUUCAGCGGCAUCUCCAAGCAAAGCAUUCUGUGUAUUGGGCCGUGGCUAAUAAAAUAAGUGCUACUGGUGGAAGCAGUGUAGGGGAGGAGGAAUAUGCCUUUAAUGUGCCUGUGUCACCGAUCUCCCCUGAUAGCAGAUUUAGCAGUUUGAGCAGCAGUGGGAGUUUGGAAUAUAGUCCCAAUGUUCACUUGCACAGUGACAGUGUGGAAGAGGCGCUGGGCCAGUUUUCCAACAAAAAAAGAAGAAAGAAAGGACUGCAGGUUAAUGAGUUAUACCCAGGAAAACCAGAGCUUUCAAAAAAAAUUGCCAAAGAUGUGGGUCCCACAGGCGCAACGACUGCAGCCAGUGCAGCCGCAGCAAUAGUCGUUUCUGGUGCAUCUGGAGAAGACAGAGAGAGUUUUCUCAUUGAAAGCAAUACUGUCAAACGCGUCCUGAUGCCGGGAACCAGGACAAAGACGUCAGCCGUCUGGAACUUCUUCUACAUUGAUCCUCAGUAUACCUGCAGGGCUGUUUGUAAUGUCUGUAAAAAGAGUGUCAGUCGAGGCAGGCCAGGCACUCAUCUUGGCACCUCCACGCUGCAACGGCAUCUGCAGGCCAUGCAUCCCAUACACUGGGCCAUGGCCAACAAAUCUAAUGGCACUAUUGGUAACGAUGUAGACGAAGAAACAAUAGAGGAUUUUUCUAUUGGUCCUAGGGAGAUGGACUUGUCAGUUGUCUGUCGCAGAAGCUUUUCAAGCUAUUUCUCGUCUCGGAGGGAUAAACUUACAGCCAGUUACAGUUUAACAUCUCAAGGCCUGGGUGUCCAUGGGCCAACUUUAUCUCCUAAGCCAGUGCUUGGUAAAAGAAAGGUCAUAAGUCCCAACUUUGGGACUCCUCAAGACUCUCAAACAUUCACUACUGAGAAGAAAAUUAAAUACCAUGAAAUUCCAGUUGCACAGCGGAUAAAUAGGGCUAUUACAGAAUUGAUUAUUGAGGAUAUGCAACCGUACUCAUUUUUUUCUACCCCUGCUUUUCAGAGAUUCAUGAAGAUAGUGGCACCAGGCUAUCAGCUGCCAUCUAGAACUUACUUUUCCACAAAGGCUGUGCCCCGGUUAUACAAUGUUGUGAGAGAAAAGGUUUUCAUGGCUCUGGAGAAAGCUGAGUGCAAAAAAGUUCACUUAACCAUUGACAUGUGGACCCAUGAACCAACCACAGACUAUCUGACAGUGAUGGCACAUUGGGUGUCUUUUGAAAUGCUGCUAUCUUCCUCUCAUAGUGCCAGCAAAACUCCCAGUUGUAGGAAGCAGGCAGCUCUUUGUGUAACUGGCUUUGCUAAAGAUUAUGCAGCAGCCAGUAUUUUACAAGAACUAAAUUACCAAAUUGGUGUGUGGCUUUCCCCCAAUUCCCUCACUCCUGGCUUCAUAGUUUCUGACAACACUGCCAAUGUUGUGCAUGCAGUGAGAGAUGGAGACUUUACCCAAGUGCCAUGCUUUAUGCAUUGUUUAAGUUUAGUAAUUCAGGCCUUCCUCCGUGAGCACAAAAGCAUGAGGAGCAUGUUAAUAGCGGCUCGAGAGAUUUGCCAUCAUUUUAAUCAUUCUGUCAAGGCCCGUCAAAUUUUGCAGGAGUUUCAGCAUGCAAACCAUCUUCCACAGCACAACUUGAAGCAGGAGGUGUCCACCCAGUGGACCUCCACCUUUUAUAUGCUGAGGCGACUUUUAGAGCAGCAGAAGGCAGUGCAUGACUAUUCCAUGCAACACCACGUGGGGAGGGCGGAUGGGGUCAUCCUCACCUCAUUUCAGUGGUGUCUGAUGGCUCACGUGUGUGACAUCCUUGAGCCGUUUGAAGAAGCCACUCAGAAAGUGAGCAUGUGCACUGCAGGUCUUAGUCAGGUGCUGCCAUUAGUUCACCGCCUGCUUUUGACUCUGCAGAACAUGCGAAAAGACUUUCAAAUCAAAGGUGCCACUGUAGCUCUCGGGCUGGUGGAUGACUUGUCUCUGAGGCUCGAAACUGACUCCCGAUUGAGCACCGUGCUCAGAUCUGAGCAUUACAUCUUGGCCACUUUAUUAGAUCCCUGCUUUAAAGACAAUUUAGAAGAAUUCCUUCCUCAAGGUACUGACUUGAUAAGCUAUAAACAGAUCCUUAUUGAAGUAGUAUCUGAGUAUAUGUGCACAUCAGUGGAGGGUUGCUCCUUGGAAGCUACAGAAGUAUCAGGCCAUUCAUCACUUAUAGGAACUGAUCCUUUUGCUCUUCACCUUAAGAAAGAUUAUUCUGGUUCAGAUCCCUUCAGUGGCUUCUCUUCGAGUGGUGCAGCUUUAAUAGGCAAGAAGAGGCUGUUGUGCCCAUCAGCUGCAGCAAUAGUAGAAGAGUACUUUCAAGAUGAGUCUUCAGGGAUAACAGUUAAAGAUGACCCCCUGACUUACUGGCAGGGGAAACUGAGAAGAUGGCCUGCAUUAACCCGAGUAGCUAUUCAGUAUCUCAGCUGUCCUCCCUGUAGUCUGCACUCUGAAUGUGUCUUCAGCGCACCCAGACACCUUGUUUCAGAACACUGUGCUAGUCCAGGUUUUGACAACAUUGAACAGUUAAUGUUCCUUAAAAUGAACUUAAAAACUAUUAAUUAUGACUAUUCCACUCUGGCCUUGGGCUUUGACACAGAGGAUGAGAUCACUCAGAGUAGUGAGGAUGAGAUGUUUUAGCCAGAGUUGGUAGCUUCAGUUUGUUCUCGCUCUGGACCAUUUGAAGUGCUGGGAUUUGUGCUGCUAUGUACUGUUCUUGUACAGUUGUUAAUAUCUAGCACUUCUUGUGCUUUCCAUCUUAAGAGCACUUUACAACAUCCUCCAAAUGCCCCUGUGAAGUAGGUAAAAAAGCAUUAUGUCCAUUUUAUAUACCAGGAAACUGAUGCCUGACUUAGUGAGAAAGGUGGGAUUAAAAUUUGGGAGUUCCUGGCUCCUGAUCUUGUGUUCAGAGUGUCCUAAUAAACACCACAUAGGUUCUUUUUAAUAUAAAUAAUGAAAAUAACUAUUUUUUAAAAAUAAUUAAAAAUACAAAAACAGGUCAAUAAUAAAGAGAAAGCAAAAUCAAUUCAUGCUUUAAAAUCAUAAAGAGGACUAGAUAGGUAUCUAUCAUUGAUAAGCAUGGUGCUGGCAGUAGUAACUGAAUAGUGCUCCCUUAUGACACCUAUUAAGGUAUAAAAAUGUUCCCUCUCUGGACUUCUCUCCCCCAUAAUCCCAGCAUACUGUUGAAAGGCUAUGGACUAAUGCUGGCUGGCAAACUGAAAAGAUGGAUGAGUGACUAACAUAGUUUUUCAGUGUUGAGAAAGACAGGGCUCGAAAAUGAACUGGGCAAAUGUUCACUGUAUUCUUGUCUUCCUUUAGUGAGAGUGAAGUGUGUGACCCCAGCUUUUUAUUUCUUCUCACUGGUCUCUAUUUAUUGUUUUGAUAUAACUAAGAUCCUGUACAAAAGUGAAAUUACAGUGUGAACCACAGCUCAAUCUCAAUGUGAACACCAGUGUAAUUUUCAGGAUUUGAUUGGCUUUGAAGUUCUUAAUCAGUUUCUGAUGCAAGCUUGCUGAGUGCGCCAGAGUUAUUCAUUCAUUUUAAGCUUUAAGGGGUUAACUCAAUUGAUUUUCUGUAGUAUUUAAAUUGCUGUUCUACCUAAAGUUUAAUUUAAAAAAAAAAAUUAAGUCUAGUUUCUGUGUUAACAUUUUUUAUUUGUAGUGCUUGUAUAGAACUGAGAGGCUUGAGUUGCUUGGUAGUAUAAUUUCAGUGAGGGUAAUUCAAACCCUGGACUGUGUGCAAAGUACUAAGUAUGUGCCGAAGUAUGGAAGUAAUAUACAAAUAUAUUGAAAGUAAUAAUCAAAAAUAGCACACAUUAUCAGACAGACCAGGAGGCAUUGUCCGUUACUUGCCAAGUAAUAAGUUUUGAUUUAUGUAGAGGCAUUUCACACUUUGAAAUUGUAUUGAAUUCUGGAGGAUAUUAGUGAAAGUGAAUUUGGCACAACUUCCCUGUAUCUAAUAUAUGUUAAUUGCACACCGAGAGAACAUUAGUGUAGUUAGAUACAGAUAAACAAAAGUUACCUGGGAUACAAAAUCCAGUUGUAAAGGCAACAAAAGUCAAAAGUGAGUAAUUAUUUAGAUACUAAGGGAAGGACAGAGAUUGAUUCUUACCUUUUUAAAAUUCCCCUUGUCAAGAGUUUAAAACCGAUAACUAGUACAAGAACCCAACUUUUCCUCUCACUAUUUUAGAUUUAGGGAAAGUCCCUCCCUUUUCUCCUCUUCUUCUCCCCCCCUCAAAAAAAAAAAAUCCUGGAAAAAUUCACUAGUGCAUGAGAAUAAAAGGUCUAAUCUUAAUAAAAUACAAUAGGUCCAUUAUUAAUUUGUAAGAACUACUUCAUUCAAUUUCUUCUAAGAUAGAAUUGGAAGAGAAUUAGCACAGAAAUGUUUCAGUGCUUUUAAUGUAUGCAAUGUUAUUGAAGUCAUAUCAGUCCCAGGUUAUUAGAGAGACAAAGUGGGUGAGGUAACAUCUUUUAUUGGACCAAAUUCUCUCACCAACAGAAGUUGAUCCAAGAGAAGUCAUUACCUCACUCACCUUGUCUCUCUCAGCACUUUUAAUGACCCAGGAAUUGGAAUCUCUUAAGUUUAGAUCUAAUGGUCAAAAAUGCAGGUUUAUGGCAUUCAGUAAAAAUAAAUAAACUGAAAUGUUUCAUUUCACAGUGAAAUUAAACUGUUUGUGGUAACUGGAAACACCUUUAGGCUCCUUAUGGUGUUAAAGUCAUUGGCUGCUAAGAAUUGAACCCAAGCCAUCCUUUCAGACCUUUGCCAUCUCACAGCGAUGGAUAAUGGUGGAUAUAUAUACCAGGGAACAGUAUAUGAUCACAAACCAGUAGUAUUUGAAAAAUAUAAAAGAAAUUAAAAUUGGCUUCCAAAAGUCAAAAUAAAAAUAUUUCCAAAUUGUGUGUCAUGCAGCUGUGCCUCUUCAAAACUGAGCGUUUCCCUGCUUCUUACAGCUUGCUAUAUUUUAGAACUGCUAUCUUUCUGCACUUGAUUGCAACUUUAAAUAUCUGAUCAGAGCUACAUGUUGUUCUUUACAGUAUGGAUAUCAGACUAUGCAUACUUUGAGCGUAUAAAUAUGGAUAUACUAUAUGCAUGUACAUACAUGUGUAUAUUUGUGCCAGAUCCAAACUUGCCCAUAUUAUAAAGCAUUGGCCUGAAAGUGUAUUUGUGUGACACUUUUAUAACUCCUCAGUUUUUGCCAUUCCCCCAAAUUGAGACACUUUAUGGUGCAUUUUAAGUGACAAGUAGCCCAAAUAUAUCAUUUUUAUUACCACAUUUGAAUAUAUUGGUGUGUGUAUAAACACAUUUGUAUAUAUGUAUAUACAUAUGUAUGUUUAUACAUACAAGUAUGUUUUUGCUAUACAGGUAAUAAAGAUGGGGGAAGGUUUUUGUGUUUUCUUAAUAGGUGAAGAAAUCUUGAAGACCAGAAAUUGGAACUUAUUGAGUUUUUAAAUUAAAAAAAAAAAAAAAUUAUAUUGUCCGGCUGUGGAAGAUGGAUCUUCAUUUUUGCAGCCGCUUUGACUCACAAGUUCAUCUUUAAAUAAACUGUUUUUUGAAGAGCUAACUAACCCUCGCUGUCUCCAGUCUGACAGAGAGUAUUCAAAUGGACUUGCUUCCUCCAGUAGUUGUAAGAUGUUUAAAAGCACAGCCUGUGUCUGAAUUGUGGAUGAGAAAUUUCCUUGGCAAUGUGAGGAGAAAAUUCUUUCUAUCCCUUUAUUAUUAAUUCACGGAUUGAGUGUUGGUUCGGCCUACAGGAGAAAUUUAUUGGAAGUCUGUGAAGACCAACGUUCUUGCCGAGGUUAUCCAGCUACCUUUUCCAAGGUUACUUUUUAAAGAAGAUUUCACUGAUCACGUCUGAAGAAGAAAGGGUGAAGCCUGUUUUCACUAAGAGAGGAAGAAGUCUGUGUGGAGCAAUAGCCCUGAUAACUUGAGCUUAUUCUAACAAUCUGUCCAGCAUG
Molecule: RNA transcript, 7807 nt
Organism: Gopherus flavomarginatus (Mexican gopher tortoise)
Lineage: Eukaryota; Metazoa; Chordata; Testudines; Testudinidae
Gene: ZC3H11A
Gene name: zinc finger CCCH-type containing 11A
Exons: 2
Source: RefSeq, a predicted model, not a curated record